ACACUCCUGCGGGAGGCAGCAGUGGGGAAUUUUGGACAAUGGGCGAAAGCCUGAUCCAGCAAUGCCGCGUGCAGGAUGAAGGCCUUCGGGUUGUAAACUGCUUUUGUACGGAACGAAAAAGCUCCUUCUAAUACAGGGGGCCCAUGACGGUACCGUAAGAAUAAGCACCGGCUAACUACGUGCCAGCAGCCGCGGUAAUACGUAGGGUGCGAGCGUUAAUCGGAAUUACUGGGCGUAAAGCGUGCGCAGGCGGUUAUGUAAGACAGAUGUGAAAUCCCCGGGCUCAACCUGGGAACUGCAUUUGUGACUGCAUGGCUAGAGUACGGUAGAGGGGGAUGGAAUUCCGCGUGUAGCAGUGAAAUGCGUAGAUAUGCGGAGGAACACCGAUGGCGAAGGCAAUCCCCUGGACCUGUACUGACGCUCAUGCACGAAAGCGUGGGGAGCAAACAGGAUUAGAUACCCGGGUAGUCCCAUGA
RNAcentral lists this ribosomal RNA (476 nucleotides) under uncultured organism. Its description in RNAcentral is "partial 16S ribosomal RNA". It matches the Rfam family "Bacterial small subunit ribosomal RNA", at positions 333 to 800 of the family's 1533-position model. The record is from RNAcentral.